GUGUGUGUUCGUGAAGCUUCAGGAGCUCUCAAGAACUCCAAACCCUAAACAUGAAAGAUCAUCCAAAUUGAAAGGCUAAAUGAUGCUUAAAUCUAUAACCGAGCAUGGAUUAAUGAUCACCAACAUGAGGAGAUCAUAAGAUGAAAGUAUAGGAAUAUGAUGAUGUUAUGUUCAAUGUUCAUUUGGAUGGAUAGCAUGUCUACGGGCUCAAGUAUGGAGGCUAACGGGUCAAAAGGAAGCAUGGAACCUAUGCUUGAACUUGGGCGCACAAGGUAAGUGACAUCCAACUCACUUCUUAGUAUACAUAAGAACCUUCUUGUUAUAAAUGAAGGGAAGUCAUGUAUGGUAUGGAAUGAUUGAAGGUAUUAAGAUAAGUAUUAAUCUAGAUAGUCGAAGCUAGUUUGUGGGACUAAACGGGUUGAAUAAUUAUGUAUAAGUAAGGUAGCGGUAAUGAAAUUCGUUAAGAAUGUGGACCCGAGGCAAGGAUUCUUAGUCUAAAAUGUAGGGAAAGGUUUUAUGGACAAUUGGAAACAAGUUAUGUUGAUAUAUGCACGAACGGGUCAAAAUUUCGUAAAAGGGUAAUAAGCCGAAGGCUUAUAAGUCAUAAAGUUAGGUAGUCCAUAUAUUGUAUUUUUAGUCUAUGUGAUAGAGAAUUAAAUUACGGUCGCGUAGGAAAAAGAAUCGGGUAAAACGGAUCAAAAACGAGCAAGUUAUGCAAGUUUUAGUGUGAAAGAUGGGAGCUGAUCUGGGCACCACCGUAGCUUACGAUGCCACCGUAAGCUACGGUGGGAACUGGGCACUUAUUCCUGCCGUAAGGCAGACUAGAACUACCGUAAGCAUUUGGGGCCACCGUAAGCUACGGUAGCCACCGUAGCUUACGGUGGAGGUCUGAUGCAAAUGUAUUGUUUAUGUAAUUUCUUCGUUUUUCCUCGAACUCGGACCCCGUGAACCCAUUCCAAGCCUCGUUAAGUCUUUAUAAUGUUCCUUAACCCUACUAAAUGGCUUGGUAAGUUACGGAUGAGUAUGAAACUCACUUUUAAGAUCCGAAAUAUAUCUGAAAGAUAUUUUAAAAGCAUUUAUGACAUGUGAUUCAGUUCGGGAUGUGUGAGCGUGUACGCGGGGUAAUGAAUUAAGUAUGUGAGUAGGUAUGCUUGUAGGUAUUAAUGUAUGUAUGUAUGUAAGCACCUAAGUAAGUAAGUUGUACGCCGUAAUGUAUGCAUGUAUAUCAAUAUGUGAGUAGGAUGUUUGUACGUAGUAAUGUAUGUAUGUAUGCAUGUAAGUAAGUAUGUGAGUAGGUAUGCUUGUAGGUAUUAAUGUAUGUAUGUAUGUAUGUAUGUAUGUAAGCACCUAAGUAGGUAAGUUGUACGCCGUAAUGUAUGCAUGUAUGUCAAUAUGUGAGUAGGAUGUUUGUACGUAGUAAUGUAUGUAUGUAUGCAUGUAAGUAAGUAUGUGAGUAGGUAUGUUUGUAUGUAGUAAUGUAUGUAUGUAUGUAUGUAUGUAUGUAAACAUGUAAGUAGGUAUGUUUGUACGCCGUAAUGUAUGUAUGAAUGUAAGUAUGUGAGCAGGUAUGUUUGUAUGAAGUAAUGUAUGUAUGAAUGUGUGUAGGUAUGUAUGUACGUGGUUAUGUAUGUAAUGCAUACGUGGUUUCAAUACACUUAAGUAUUGACGUUAUUAACAGUGUGCCUCGAGAAUGAAACGUGGUGCAGGUACCCCAUCGAGGUUCGCUAAGGAUUAGGCACCCGGAUGGAAUGACUACAUCUAGAAAGAUAACGGAUGGAAAGAAUAUGUGGAUAGAACAAAUCGAGACUACACGAUUAAGAAUCUUGUUUGUAUAUAAUGUAUGCUAAUGUUUCGAUUGUAUGUGGUGGGUGCAGGUAGUAUGAAUCACAGAUUUUCAUCACAAGGAGUAGCGAUCAAAGACCGAGUCACAAGUCAGAUUGUACGGGAAUACUUGACUAUGUAAAUUGAUAGUUAUAAGUUAAGCUUUUGUUAUGUAAAUGAGUAUAAAAGAUGCAUAUAAUGUAAGAAAGUGUUUCAUAAUGAACUUGCUAGUAGGUCAAAACGUUUUUAAUGAAAGAAAUUUUUAU
Molecule: long non-coding RNA, 2087 nt
Filed under: Helianthus annuus (common sunflower)
Lineage: Eukaryota; Viridiplantae; Streptophyta; Magnoliopsida; Asterales; Asteraceae
Description: hypothetical non coding rna
Source: RNAcentral